GCCCGUCUAGCUCAGUUGGUAGAGCCAAUGGCUAUUAACCUCGUGGUUGUGGGAUCGAGCCCCACAGUGGGCG
This 73-nucleotide transfer RNA is filed under the name Ipomoea nil (Japanese morning glory). It matches the Rfam family "tRNA". Rfam says of the family: Transfer RNA (tRNA) molecules are approximately 80 nucleotides in length. The record is from Rfam by way of RNAcentral. Lineage: Eukaryota; Viridiplantae; Streptophyta; Magnoliopsida; Solanales; Convolvulaceae.